AGCCGGAGUAGAAAAGAGAAGAGGAGGAAUUGGUCUGGGUUUUUUUUGAAUUCCCUGAUUUUGAUUUUUGAAUCUCGAGACUGAUCGGAGAGGUAUGACAAAUGAAAAUGGGGGUGGGCUGACAGCAUCAAGAACCAUCUUGUAAAGGAGGAGAUCCAGAAAAAGAAGUGGUGGAGUUUUGCAAAUCAUGUUUGUAUGUAAACAGAGAAGUUAUUUGUGAUGCAAGACUCAGGCUCAUCAUCAAUGAUGCCAGGUUUUCUUUGUCAGUAUAGUACAUACAUAUAUACUAAUCUCGAAUUCACUAACCUCUUAUGUGGUAAUGUUAUUGUCACUACUUCUUGAGGUGUUUUGCAGGGCUGAGCUAGAACACACAAAAUAUCACUAUGAUGUGAUCAUUGGCGAUCUUGCAGAUCCAAUAGAAGGAAGACCGUGUUAUAAACUCUACAUCAAACCUAGACUCACCAAAUAUGGCAUUUUUUCACAAAGGCUGGUCCUGCUGGAAUUUGCAGCCACAAAGAAGUAUUCUGUUGCAUAUAUCUAAUUCAACUUGCAUAUGUGGAAGAGGUUGGUGAUCUGUACGGGGCAGAAAUGGAGGAAUCAGGAAUGUAUAGAGUUUGAUAAUGGAAGAAUUAGGAAAGAGAAAUAUCUAAUGCAUACACCCUUGCCUAUCAGGGCAACAAGGAUGGUGAAGACUAUGGUGGAGGCUGAGAUUUAUAAGAUUUUGUAAAUUUCAUCAAUGAGAAACGUAGGACUGGCAGAGAUGCGGCCCGUACUUCCUAAGUUAGUACCAGUUUAAACCAAUGAACAUACCUCAUCAGUUUUUAUUAAUUAUUUUCUUUUAUGUAGGCUGAAAUAGUCUCAAGUUUGGACAAGUUAGUGAAAGAGUUUGUGAACUAGCUUUCAUAAUAUGUGCAAAGAUAACAUAUUCGGUUAAUAUUUUUUAG
Rosa rugosa (rugosa rose) is the source of this 944-nucleotide long non-coding RNA. RefSeq lists it as uncharacterized. NCBI's taxonomy places the organism in Eukaryota, Viridiplantae, Streptophyta, Magnoliopsida, Rosales, Rosaceae. The record is from RefSeq and is a predicted model, not a curated record. The transcript is spliced from 5 exons.